AUUGAACGCUGGCGGCAUGCUUUACACAUGCAAGUCGAACGGUAACAGGCCUUCGGGUGCUGACGAGUGGCGAACGGGUGAGUAAUGCAUCGGAACGUACCCAGAGGUGGGGGAUAACGCAGCGAAAGCUGUGCUAAUACUGCAUGUGAUCUGAGGAUGAAAGCGGGGGACCGAGCAGCAAUGUUUGGCCUCGCGCCUUUGGAGCGGCCGAUGUCGGAUUAGCUAGUUGGUGGGGUAAAGGCCUACCAAGGCGACGAUCCGUAGCUGGUCUGAGAGGACGAACAGCCACACUGGGACUGAGACACGGCCCAGACUCCUACGGGAGGCAGCAGUGGGGAAUUUUGGACAAUGGGCGCAAGCCUGAUCCAGCAAUGCCGCGUGCGGGAAGAAGGCCUUCGGGUUGUAAACCGCUUUUGGCAGGAACGAAACGGUGUCCGCUAAUACCGGGCGCUAAUGACGGUACCUGCAGAAUAAGCACCGGCUAACUACGUG
This 492-nucleotide ribosomal RNA is filed under the name uncultured bacterium. RNAcentral describes it as "partial 16S ribosomal RNA". It matches the Rfam family "Bacterial small subunit ribosomal RNA", at positions 29 to 507 of the family's 1533-position model. The record is from RNAcentral.